UACGUAGGUGGCAAGCGUUGUCCGGAUUUACUGGGCGUAAAGAGCGCGCAGGCGGCCGAGUAAGUCGAAUGUGAAAGCCCCCGGCUCAACUGGGGAAGGUCAUUCGAUACUGUUCGGCUUGAAGAUAGGAGAGGGAAGCGGAAUUUCAGGUGUAGUGGUGAAAUGCGUAGAUAUCUGAAGGAACACCGGUGGCGAAGGCGGUUCUCUGGGCCUGUACUGACGCUGAGGAGCGAAAGCGUGGGGAGCGAACAGG
Molecule: ribosomal RNA, 253 nt
Filed under: uncultured bacterium
Lineage: Bacteria
Description: partial 16S ribosomal RNA
Rfam family: Bacterial small subunit ribosomal RNA
Source: RNAcentral